CCGUCCCCCAAAUACAGUGGCGGUCCCGCCGCAGCUUCCAUCGCGUAGUAGCUAACACCUCGCGACUGGAGAGCGGCGCGGCCACGCCGUAAAACACCCAACUCUUCUGAAGAAUACCCGCUGAACUUAAGCAUAUCAAUAAGCGGAGGAAAAGAAACCAACAGGGAUUGCCCCAGUAACGGCGAGUGAAGCGGCAACAGCUCAAAUUUGAAAUCUGGCUCUCGGGCCCGAGUUGUAAUUUGUAGAGGAUGCUUUUGGUGAGGUGCCUUCCGAGUUCCCUGGAACGGGACGCCAUAGAGGGUGAGAGCCCCGUCUGGUUGGACGCCGAACCUCUGUAAAGCUCCUUCGACGAGUCGAGUAGUUUGGGAAUGCUGCUCUAAAUGGGAGGUAUAUGUCUUCUAAAGCUAAAUACCGGCCAGAGACCGAUAGCGCACAAGUAGAGUGAUCGAAAGAUGAAAAGAACUUUGAAAAGAGAGUUAAACAGUACGUGAAAUUGUUGAAAGGGAAGCGCUUGUGACCAGACUUGGGCUUGGUUGAUCAUCCGGGGUUCUCCCCGGUGCACUCUUCCGGCCUAGGCCAGCAUCAGUUCGCCCUGGGGGAUAAAGGCUUCGGGAACGUGGCUCUCUCCGGGGAGUGUU
Molecule: ribosomal RNA, 638 nt
Filed under: Fusarium cf. solani
Lineage: Eukaryota; Fungi; Ascomycota; Sordariomycetes; Hypocreales; Nectriaceae
Description: partial large subunit ribosomal RNA
Rfam family: Eukaryotic large subunit ribosomal RNA (bases 94-638)
Source: RNAcentral